AUACGGAGGGAGCUAGCGUUGUUCGGAAUUACUGGGCGUAAAGCGUGCGUAGGCGGACUAUUAAGUUGGGGGUGAAAUCCCAGGGCUCAACCCUGGAACUGCCCUCAAAACUGGUAGGCUUGAGAUUGAGAGAGGUAAGUGGAAUUCCGAGUGUAGAGGUGAAAUUCGUAGAUAUUCGGAGGAACACCAGAGGCGAAGGCGGCUUACUGGAUCAAUACUGACGCUGAGGCACGAAAGUGUGGGGAGCAAACAGGAUUAGAAACCCUAGUAGUCC
RNAcentral lists this ribosomal RNA (274 nucleotides) under uncultured bacterium. RNAcentral's name for it is "partial 16S ribosomal RNA". It matches the Rfam family "Bacterial small subunit ribosomal RNA", at positions 523 to 796 of the family's 1533-position model. The record is from RNAcentral.